GGAGCGCGUCACGUGACCACGUGACUGGCAGGGCCGCUACGGCCGCCGCACGUCCGUCGACCCCGUGACCCGCAGGGGCGGGGCCUGGGCGGGGCCAGCCCUCCUGCACGAUGACACGGGCUGCCCCGUCCCUGACCCCUGCCUAUGGAGAGCCACGGCUGUGCCAGUGCUGCCCGCCAGGAGGAACUCGCCUUGCCCUGGAACUUAACCCACUCCGCCCACAACCCCGGGCUUCCCCACGCUUUAAAACCACAUUUGCCUGGGACCGGUGCUGUAGAGUAGCGGGUAAAUCCGCUGCCGGCAGUGUCGGCAUCCCAUGUGGGCGCCGGUUCAAGUCUCGGCUGCUCCACUUCCAAUCCAGCUCUGCGCUGUGGCCUGGGAAAGCAGUGGAGGAUGGCCCAAGUCCUUGGGCCCCUGCACCCACAUGGGAGACCCAGAGGAAUCUCCUGGCUCCUGGCUUUGGAUCAGCACAGCUCCGGCCAUUGUGGCCAUCUGGGGAGUGAACCAGCGGAUGGAAGACCUCUCUCUCUCUCUCUCUCUCUCUCUCUGCCUCCCGGCUUCUGCUCGCUUCUUCACGUCUUCUCGUGUAAUUGCA
Molecule: long non-coding RNA, 595 nt
Organism: Lepus europaeus (European hare)
Lineage: Eukaryota; Metazoa; Chordata; Mammalia; Lagomorpha; Leporidae
Exons: 3
Source: RefSeq, a predicted model, not a curated record